GACAGAGGCCCCAAGCGUUAGGCGGAAUCACUGGGCUUAAAGCGUGUGUAGGCGGACGCCUAAGUGUCUUGUGAAAAUCCCCACGGCUCGCCCGUGGAACUGCUGGGCAUACUGGGCGUCUUGGGCCAACUAGGGGCAGCCGGAACAAGCGGUGGAGCGGUGAAAUGCGUAGAUAUCGCUUGGAACGCCGAAGGUGAAAACAGGCUGCUGGGGUUGCGCCGA
Molecule: ribosomal RNA, 222 nt
Filed under: uncultured bacterium
Lineage: Bacteria
Description: partial 16S ribosomal RNA
Rfam family: Bacterial small subunit ribosomal RNA
Source: RNAcentral